ACAUGCAGUCGAGCGGCAGCGCGGGGGCAAUCCUGGCGGCGAGCGGCGAACGGGUGAGUAAUACAUCGGAACGUGUCCAGUAGUGGGGGAUAACCUGUCGAAAGAUAGGCUAAUACCGCAUACGAUCUACGGAUGAAAGCGGGGACUCUUGGGCAACUGAGGGCCUCGCGCUGUUGGAGCGGCCGAUGUCGGAUUAGCUAGUUGGCGGGGUAAAAGCCCACCAAGGCGACGAUCCGUAGCUGGUCUGAGAGGACGAUCAGCCACACUGGAACUGAGACACGGUCCAGACUCCUACGGGAGGCAGCAGUGGGGAAUUUUGGACAAUGGGCGCAAGCCUGAUCCAACCAUGCCGCGUGAGUGAAGAAGGCCUUCGGGUUGUAAAGCUCUUUCGGUGAAGACGAAACGGUUCGUGCUAAUAACGCGAACUAAUGACGGUACUCACAGAAGAAGCACCGGCUAACUACGUGCCAGCAGCCGCGGUAAUACGUAGGGUGCAGGCGUUAAUCAGAAUUACUGGGCGUAAAGCGUGCGCAGGCGGCUCCUUAAGUCAGAUGUGAAAUCCCCGGGCUUAACCUGGGAACUGCGUUUGAAACUGAGGGGCUAGAGUGUGGAAGAGGGGGGUGGAAUUCCAGGUGUAGCAGUGAAAUGCGUAGAGAUCUGGAGGAACACCGAUGGCGAAGGCAGCCCCCUGGGCUAACACUGACGCUCAUGCACGAAAGCGUGGGGAGCAAACAGGAUUAGAUACCCUGGUAGUCCACGCCCUAAACGAUGUCAACUGGUUGUCGGGGAAGCAAUUCCUUGGUAACGAAGCCAACGCGUGAAGUUGACCGCCUGGGGAGUACGGCCGCAAGGUUAAAACUCAAAGGAAUUGACGGGACCCGCACAAGCGGUGGAUUAUGUGGAUUAAUUCGAUGCAACGCGAAAAACCUUACCUACCCUUGACAUGUACGGAAGCUCGCAGAGAUGUGAGUGUGCCCGAAAGGGAGCCGUAACACAGGUGCUGCAUGGCUGUCGUCAGCUCGUGUCGUGAGAUGUUGGGUUAAGUCCCGCAACGAGCGCAACCCUUGUCAUUAGUUGCUACAUUCAGUUGGGCACUCUAAUGAGACUGCCGGUGACAAACCGGAGGAAGGUGGGGAUGACGUCAAGUCCUCAUGGCCCUUAUGGGUAGGGCUUCACACGUAAUACAAUGGCCGGUACAGAGGGCAGCCAACCCGCGAGGGGGAGCUAAUCCCAGAAAGCCGGUCGUAGUCCGGAUUGUUCUCUGCGACUCGAGAGCAUGAAGUCGGAAUCGCUAGUAAUCGCGGAUCAGCAUGUCGCGAUGAAUACGUUCCCGGGUCUUGUACACACCGCCCGUCACACCAUGGGAGUGGGUUUCACCAGAAGUAGUUAGCCUAACCGCAAGGAGGGCGACUACCACG
This 1418-nucleotide ribosomal RNA is filed under the name uncultured beta proteobacterium. RNAcentral describes it as "16S ribosomal RNA". It matches the Rfam family "Bacterial small subunit ribosomal RNA". The record is from RNAcentral. Lineage: Bacteria; Pseudomonadati; Pseudomonadota; Betaproteobacteria.